Molecule: long non-coding RNA, 363 nt
Filed under: Brassica napus (rape)
Lineage: Eukaryota; Viridiplantae; Streptophyta; Magnoliopsida; Brassicales; Brassicaceae
Description: long non-coding RNA (BNAP_LNC021340)
Source: RNAcentral
AUGAGUCUUCCCGAUCCAGCGAAUAAGGGGUUUCCUUGAACCCGCUGGGUACGAGGGCGAGGAAACACUAGUCCACCCCAAAACAUGCCUAGCAUGGGCGGCUUUCACACCUGCUGUCGGCAUAACACACACUCGACACAAUUAUCCCUAGGAAAGACCUAAGGGACAAGACUCCUAUCCAAAACUAAACAAUACUUAGGAGUCUACGACAAUAUCCACCAAUACUCAUAGUCCAGCCUAUAUGGCAUAGGACUCGUAGUAUCAACAUCACAACUAGGAGAUCGGCCUAUAUGGCAAAAGAUCCCUAGACAACAACAUUACCAAAAUCCCUGCACAAACAAUAAUCUCAACCAGAAGCAAUCA